CAGACCAUUUCUUCUGCACCGAAUACAUUAGCAUGGGAUAAUGGAAUAGGACCCUGUCCUCCUAUUUUGCGUGUUGGUUUUCGAGGACCGGGUAAUGAUUAAUAGGGAUAGUUGGGGGCAUUAAUAUUUAAUUGUCAGAGGUGAAAUUCUUGGAUUUAUGAAAGAUUGACUUCUGCGAAAGCAUCUGCCAAGGAUGUUUUCAUUAAUCAAGAACGAAAGUUAGGGGAUCGAAGACGAUCAGAUACCGUCGUAGUCUUAACCAUAAACGAUGCCGACCAGCGAUUAGGAGACGUUGAAUACAAAACACCACCGUCGGGUCGGCCGUCCUUGGCCGUCGUGCGCGGCGACGCGCGCGGCGGCGAGGGCGGUGUCUGCCCGACGGCCCGGUGAAUGACUCCCCUAGCAGCUUGUGAGAA
Molecule: ribosomal RNA, 416 nt
Filed under: Acanthamoeba genotype T15
Lineage: Eukaryota; Discosea; Longamoebia; Acanthamoebidae
Description: SSU rRNA
Rfam family: Eukaryotic small subunit ribosomal RNA
Source: RNAcentral